AGGUUUCCGUAGGUGAACCUGCGGAAGGAUCAUUAUUGAAUAAACUUGGUUGGGUUGUUGCUGGCUCCUUGGAGCAUGUGCACGCCUAGCGCCAUUUUUACCACCUGUGCACCCUUUGUAGACCUGGAUACCUCUCGAGGAAACUCGGUUUUGAGGACUGCCGUGCGAAAGCCGGCUUUCCUUGCAUUUCCGGUCUAUGUCUUUAUAUACCCCAUAAGAAUGUAACGGAAUGUUAUUAACUGGCCUUUGUGCCUUUAAUCAAAUACAACUUUCAGCAACGGAUCUCUUGGCUCUCGCAUCGAUGAAGAACGCAGCGAAAUGCGAUAAGUAAUGUGAAUUGCAGAAUUCAGUGAAUCAUCGAAUCUUUGAACGCACCUUGCGCUCCCUGGUAUUCCGGGGAGCAUGCCUGUUUGAGUGUCAUUAAAUUCUCAACCUUUCCAGCUUUUACUAGCUUGGUCAGGCUUGGAUGUGGGGGUUGCGGGCUUCUCAGAAGUCGGCUCUCCUUAAAUGCAUUAGUGAAACCUUUGUUGACCAUCUCUGGUGUGAUAAUUAUCUACGCCGUUGUAAGGUCUUCAGUUAUGAGGUUCUGCUUCUAACCGUCCUCUCGGGGACAACUCUUGACAUUUUGACCUCAAAUCAGGCAAGACU
RNAcentral lists this ribosomal RNA (648 nucleotides) under uncultured Tricholomataceae. RNAcentral describes it as "eukaryotic LSU rRNA". The stretch from base 267 to 420 matches the Rfam family "5.8S ribosomal RNA". Lineage: Eukaryota; Fungi; Basidiomycota; Agaricomycetes; Agaricales; Tricholomataceae. The record is from RNAcentral.